CACCGCGGUUAUACGAGUAACACAAAUUAAUACUCCCCGGCGUCAAGGGUGAUUAGAAGAAAUAUCUUACUAAAAUAAAGUUAAGACCCCAUCAGGCUGUUAUACGCUCCCAUGUCUUAAAACAUCACUCACGAAAGUAACUUUAAAUACAAAGACUUUUUGAAUUCACGACAGUUAAGGCC
This 182-nucleotide ribosomal RNA is filed under the name Urolophus aurantiacus (sepia stingray). RNAcentral's name for it is "partial 12S rRNA". Lineage: Eukaryota; Metazoa; Chordata; Chondrichthyes; Myliobatiformes; Urolophidae. The record is from RNAcentral.